Molecule: long non-coding RNA, 134 nt
Organism: Oncorhynchus masou masou (cherry salmon)
Lineage: Eukaryota; Metazoa; Chordata; Actinopteri; Salmoniformes; Salmonidae
Exons: 3
Source: RefSeq, a predicted model, not a curated record
GUUUUGAAGUCAUGCGAGGAAGAGGGAGCAGAUUGUCUAGAGGCUGUGGUGAAGUUAAUGUGUCACCAUCUUGGCAGGUUGUGGUGAAGUGUUACCAUCUUGGCAGGUUGUGGUGAAGUUAAUGUGUUACCAUC